GGCGAACGCUGGCGGCGUGCUUAACACAUGCAAGUCGAACGAAGAGCGAUGGAAGCUUGCUUCUAUCAAUCUUAGUGGCGAACGGGUGAGUAACGCGUAAUCAACCUGCCCUUCAGAGGGGGACAACAGUUGGAAACGACUGCUAAUACCGCAUACGAUCUAACCUCGGCAUCGAGGAUAGAUGAAAGGUGGCCUCUACAUGUAAGCUAUCACUGAAGGAGGGGAUUGCGGCUGAUUAGCUAGUUGGAGGGGUAACGGCCCACCAAGGCGAUGGUCAGUAGCCGGUCUGAGAGGAUGGACGGCCACAUUGGGACUGGGACACGGCCCAGACUCCUACGGGAGGCAGCAGUGGGGAAUCUUCCGCAAUGGACGAAAGUCUGACGUAGCAACGCCGCGUGAGUGAUGACGGCCUUCGGGUUGUAAAGCUCUGUUAAUCGGGACGAAAGGCCUUCUUGCGAAUAGUGAGAAGGAUUGACGGUACCGGAAGAGAAAGCCACGGCUAACUACGUG
Molecule: ribosomal RNA, 510 nt
Filed under: uncultured bacterium
Lineage: Bacteria
Description: partial 16S ribosomal RNA
Rfam family: Bacterial small subunit ribosomal RNA
Source: RNAcentral